UCUUACCUUGUAUUUCCUCGGAGAACCGUAUGCGUUAGCGUCGAUAAGCUAAAUAGCGCUGGCAUUGGUCGGAGACAUUUGUAGCUUCAUUCUCGUCGGGCGCCAUGAGAAUCUCCUCACUUCCUGUUCGCCUGACCGGGUCUUAUUUAUUGUGUUUGUUUGAACUGGGGAGAAUCGUCGACACUAACUGCUCCCUCCACCUUCUCCAGGAUGUUGGGGAGGCCGAGCUUCUCUAUGCUGCGGGGGCCCAGAACAUUCUGUCCUGAAUAAACCCAGAAUUGGCGCCCUGGAAAGACACCCUACUGCUUGUUAAGUUGUCACUAUGGAUUUGCAUGUGCCUUGUACAAUGCAUGAAGCUCACUUACCAGAGAAGAAGUACAAUUUCUUGGUGAGAAUGUCUUCAAAGGCAGCAUCAAUGACUGCUGGCAGUGCUGGCCAAUGCUCAGAAAUUCUGAACGCACCUUUGACCUCCCCGUUAUCGCUGGUGGAUUUCUUCCAGUAAUACCUAAUGACAGAACAUCACUAUAUUUGACUUCCUUGUUUCUUGUCUUAUCAGUCUUUAAUCAGUCAGUUUUUCUCUUACCCGCCACUAAAGAAGUAUAGAUUGUUACUGAUAACAGUGAUGGUGUCAAAUUUGUUAACUUUGCAGGCAUCAUUGGUUGGAUCCACAGGUUUUAGGGUGGUAGUGGGUUCAUGUUCAAAUGGUGUUGUGGUAGGUGUGUCAGUCGGAGGUAUCGGGUCUGGGCCUUCUCUGCGUCCUGAACAAAGUAUUUAUAUUUAGAUCUUUGGAGAUAAUACAGGAUUCAUUCAUUCAUUUUCUACCGCUUAUCCUCACGUGGGGGGAUCAUGGGGGCGCUGGAGCCUAUCCCAGCUAUCUUUGGGCGAGAGGUGGGUUACACCCUAGACUGGUCGCCAGCCAAUCCCAGGCACAUAUAGACAAACAACCAUUCCCACCCCACUCACAUUCAUACCCAUGGACAAUUUGUAGUCGCCAAUUAACCUAGCAUGCAUGUUUUUGGAAUGUGGGAGAAAGCCGGAGUCCCCGGAGAAAACCCACGCAUGCACGGGGAGAACAUGCAAACUCCACAUGGGAUUGAACUCCGGUCUCCUAGCUGUGUGGCCUGCAUGCUAUCCACUCAUCCGUCGUGCUAAUGCAGAAUUGUGUGUGAUAAAGGUUUUUGAAGGAUUUUUUUGCGUCAUACCAUAUAGAUACUGAAUGCCUGCAAUAUCGUCUCUAUGCAGGGAGAAGUUCUCCAUAUAGCUGUACAUGGGGUACAUCAGUGCAUCUCGAAUAUUGGAGUGAUCCAGACCGAGGGCGUGUCCAAACUCAUGCGCGGCCACCAAGAAGAGGCUAUAACCUGCAUCACAAUCAGAUCCUUAAUGAAUAAGCAGGUCAAAUAACUUAACACUUUGAUUUGUCUUUUAAUUCUCACCGUCAUCACGACAGAAGCCCCAUUUGUUGUCCUCAUCAUAGCUGCUGGUGGUAGCACACCACAGUUUGCCAUCAUUGCGACCCUCACUGGUGCACGAAUCGUACCGCUGACCCAGGAAAGUGAAUGGGAAGUGGCACGGCUCUCCUUCAGAAUUUCCACCAGAUACAGCAGUGUCUGAUCAGACAAAGACAUGAGAUGAGCAGCAGAGGGAGACAAACGCUACCUGGUCCUUUUCCCAGCGUCCAGUUUUCGUCAUCAUCAAAGUGGGCAUCCCCUUGGAGUCCCUCACCGGGUGGAUAUGCAUGGGCCAAAAGACCAUCCUUUCCAUCAAACGGGUACGGGUCUCCAUGGUCUGAAAAAUACCAUCAAGCAGUGUAGAUGACACAAAUAUAAAGGGAACGUCAUUAUGGCCGCACGGUGGAUGAGUGCUUAGAAUGUAGGCCACACAGUCAGGAGAUUGGGAAGACCUGGCUUCGAUUCUCCACUUGGGCAUCUCUGUGUGGAGUUUGCAUGUUCUCCCCGUGCGUGUGUUUUCUCCGGGUACUCCGGUGUCCGCCCACAUUCUAAAAACUUGCACGUUAGCUUCAUUUGUGACUCUAAAUUGUCCAUAGGUAUGAAUGUGAGUGUGAAUGGUUGUUAGCCCCAAAGUCAGCUGGGAUAGGCUCCAGCAUAGCCCCACUACCCUACUGAGUAUAAGCGCCAUAGAAAAUGGAUGGAUGGAACGUCAUAAUGACAUCAGUGUGAUGAAAAAUAGACUAGACGACAUUCUGAAAACACAUACCGCCUUUUCCAAAGGAUAUCAUGAUAUCCGCCGUCCCUUCAAAGAGGCGGGUAAACGUCAAAGGCGUCACAUCACUCCACACCUUCAAAGCUCUGGCAAAAGCAUCAUCAGUCAGAGAGAUGUCCAAGUCUGGAGAGUAGUUGACAAUCCUGUGGAGGAGAGCGCCAUAGCAUAGCAUAGCCAUAGGCAUAGCCUUGUUAAAUAUUUUGUUUCUCUGACAAAUAUGGCUUAUGCACACAGUAAUCUUUACUCGCCUGUAUGUGACAUCAUUAUGUUGCCAUUUAAGGUCUCCCUCGAAUGUUUUAUAGUUGGCCACAUCAGGCACCCCACAGCGAGGCCGCUUCAUUAUCUCCAAAGUUGCUGAAUCCAGCUCACCCGUCUCCUCCAGACCCAUCUGUUUCUGCAUCUUCUUCAGAGCCUUGGAGGUGGACACCAUAGACUGGAAACCGCUGCGUUGCAAGAUCUCCAUGUAGCCAAACUUCUUCAGGUAACUCUGCACAUCAGAAAUAACUUUAGGUUGAAGACAAUCAGUCAUCUCUUUACAACAUUUAGUUUGGACAGAAAGUAAAUCCACACCCCCACUGUAAUCAAGCACACAAUCUUUCUUUUUUGACACCCGGUAAUUACUUCUCUGGGCAGCUAUGACACUAUUGAGAUAAAAGUACACCAUCUGUUCUACUCACUUCUGCCAACUGUAUAUCAGUCAAGUUUUUGAUGAUGUCUCCUGGAAAUGUGACAUGGACUGACUUCAGGGGAAGACUCCAUCCAUCCUGUGUGCUCAGCCCCCAAAGCAGACACACAAACAAAGCACAGGAUCUCAUUAUGGAGCCUGCCUGUUAGCAAACAGGAUAAAAAAGUAAUCACCCAGUGAAAAAGUUUUGUAAAAGUGGAAUCCGUCUUUGUUUUGAGCGGUGUCUCUUGUUGUCUUCUUGCAAUAUGUGUCUUUGCUAAGCAUUGUGGUCCUUUUUAUGCAACUUGAUGUCUUAGUCACUUAACCUCAUACCCGCCCUCUACCAACCUCAACCCUCCCACUCUCAUCACAACAAGUAGUAUCCGUUUAAUGGAUUCAGGGGGUUUCCAAAAUAUUCCCAGUUUGACCCAACAACAAAUGAGUGGUCUAAAUAAAAUAUGUGAGUGCAUAUGUAAAUGUGGAAAAUGAUUGGCUGCAUUCAUGUAAGUUGUGCAUACUACCUAUGUCAUGUAUUUUUGUAUACAGAAGUGUAUAAGAGUAAGUGUGUAAGUGUGUAAGUGUGUAAGAGAAGUGUACAGUUGACAUUGUCUGAACAAUAUGUAAACGUAACUUGUUAGUAAUGCAAAUAAAUAAAAAGAUAUCCGGUUUCCUCCCACAUUCCAAAGACAGGUUAAUUGCCGACUCCAAAUAGUCGAUAGGUGUGAAUGUAAGUGUGAAUGGUUGUUUGUCUGUAUGUGCCCUGUCCAGGGUGUACGCCGCCUCUCGCCCGAAGACAACUGAGAUAUGCUCCAGGAAGAAUGGUUGGAUGGAUGGAUAAACAUUAUAAGAGCGGCGAUUUCGCCCACUGCAGAGUGCAUACAAAGACAUCAGAAUCGGGUCCAGAAGCAGAGACUGUACAGUCCGAAGUUUCUCAAGAGAAGAGGUUACGUCUCUCAAUGGUGAAAAGUGAGAAGACUGACCUGACUUGGGUCGUUUGCCUUUUCCUGGUGCAUUUUUGGGAUUGUCAAGGACUUGCAGAUGCAGUAUUUUCUCACACUAAAUGGAUGCUUCAACUCCAAAUCCCUUUCAUAAGGCUCUAAAUAAAUACUAGAACUGCACUUGGAAGAGUGGAAACUUCCUCCAAAAUAGAAGGAUUGUGUUCUGCAUAAAAGUGCAUCCAUGAAGAAGAAUGAUCUGAAAACACUUUGGGUAAUGAUGCUUUCAUCAAAACUCAAGAGUGGUGUCCAUAAACAGGGAACUCUGUUUAGCAGGGCCAAUCAGCAACAUCACAGUAUUGUCAGGGUUCAUAAAUAAAAAGCAAAUCAACCGCCUCCAUCCAACCCUGUCUUCUGCAUCUGUCUCCCUCACACCGACUACCCUCACGUCCUCCUUCAAGGCAUCCAUAAACCUCUUCUCUGGUCUUCCUCUACGUCUUCUAUACCUGGCAGCUCUAAACGAAGCAUCCUUUUACCAAUAUAUUCACUAUCUCUCCUCUGGACACGUCCGAACCAUCACUGUCUGGCCUCUCUGACUUUAUCUCCGAGUCAAAUGAAAGCAAUUCAUAAUAUUUAAGAUAGGGUUAGGGUUAAAGUUAGAGUAUGAACCAAGUACAUUUCAUCAUU
Non-coding RNA from Doryrhamphus excisus (bluestripe pipefish), 4506 nucleotides. The record is from RefSeq and is a predicted model, not a curated record. Lineage: Eukaryota; Metazoa; Chordata; Actinopteri; Syngnathiformes; Syngnathidae.